Molecule: regulatory RNA element, 119 nt
Organism: Microlunatus soli
Lineage: Bacteria; Bacillati; Actinomycetota; Actinomycetes; Propionibacteriales; Propionibacteriaceae
Rfam family: mraW RNA
Source: Rfam
CACGGCUCGUGUCUUCAGGCUUCAGCCCUGGGAUCUGACUCCCUGGCGCAACUUCCCCGGCGCCAGGUAGUACUUCCCGCAGAUCCAGGGCUGAAACCCGAGGACACGAACCGUGCUCG